GGAAGGAAGUUGUUAACCUGGUCCAGGGAUGCCCUAGAAAAUAUAAAGUCCUUUAUGUGAAUGACAUAAGGCAAUCUUUGGUCGAGAUGCAUAAGCUGUUGUGUGAACACAGCCACUACGAGCAUGACCAUGAUAGGUGCCAGGUGUGCAUUAUCAAUGAGAGAGGAUACCGUCAAGUAAGAAAGGACAUCCAAGAGAUGAUUGAUCAAGGGAUGAUUGAGAUACUUCAGAAUCGUAAUGAGGAUGAGGUUGGUGUAAGCACUCCAGUAUUCAAAAUUCCUAAGCCUGUUGUUAUCAGAUAUGACGGCAACAAGAAGAAGGUAUCGCCAGCUCUUGUGAUCAAGCCAGCGGGCCCUGUCCCGUAUGUAUCCGACAAAGCUGUUCCCUGCCGGUAUAACGCAGUUAUGCUAGAAGAUGGGAAGGAGGUGUCAUUGCCCUCAACCUCUGUUGUUAGCAUUUCAGAUGUCAGUGGUGUGACCCGUAGUGGUCAUAUUUUCUCGGCGCAGCCGAAACCCCAUGAAGACAUUGUGAAGAAAACUGUUGUUAAUCCUGCUGGUCCCGUAGGGACUUCUUCUUCAAAUAAUCCUGCUCAUGUUGUGAAGGGUGUUGACCCUGUUGUUGUCAAGAAUAAUAACACUUCUAUCCUGGUUGGCCAGUCUGGCAUAUUGAAAGAGGAUGGUGAUGAGAUGCUAAGGCUCAUCAAAAGGAGUGAAUCUAAUAUUGUUGAUCAGCUGCUACAAACUCCAUCAAAGAUAUCUGUCUUAUCUUUGCUGAUGAAUUCUGAGCCACACCGCGAAGCUUUGCAGAGGGUGUUGGACGUGGCAUACGUGGAACAUGAUGUCACAAUAUAGCAGUUUGAUAGCAUUGUUGCAAAUAUAACCGCUUGCAACAACUUGAGCUUCUGUGAUGCUGGACUUCCCGAGGAGGGAAAAGACCACAAUUUGGUUUUACACAUUUCAAUGAACUAUAAGGAUGACGCCUUGUCCAAUGUGUUGGUGGACACAGGGUCAUCACUAAAUAUGUUACCAAAGUCCACUCUUGCUAAACUUUCGUAUCAAGGGCCUCCCAUGAGGCAGAGUGGAGUGGUUGUGAAGGCGUUUGAUGGAUCGCGCAAAACUGUGAUCGGAGAAUUAGAACUCCCGAUCAAGAUUAGACCUAGUGAUUUCCAGAUCACUUUCCAGGUCAUGGAUAUUCAUCCGUCUUAUAGUUUUUUACUGGGUAGACCAUGGAUUCACGAGGCAGGCGCCGUGACAUCCACCCUACACCAAAAGUUGAAGUUCAUAAAGAAUAAGAAGUUGGUGGUGAUAGGGGGAGAGAAGGCUCUCUUGGUCAGUUAUUUAUCUUCCUUCUCCUAUAUUGAUGUUGAGGAUAAGGUUGGGACUCUGUUCCAAGCCUUGUCUUUUGCUGAGCCUUUGAGGAAAGGACUUUCUUCAUUUGUCUCCUAUAAUGAUGCGAAGUUGGCCAUUGAGCAUGGUGGAACUACUGGUUUGGGGAAAAUGAUCAAGUUGGAAGAUAAUAAGUCCCGAGCUGGCAUAGGGUAUUCUUCAUGUGUUUCCAAUGAGUGUGGGCUAUUCCAGAGUGGAGGUUUUAUCCACACUGUUGAAGAUCAGGAAGCUGCUGCCAUUGUUGAAGAUGAUGAAGAGGAAGACCUUGGCAACUUUGUCAUACCUGGUGGAAUCUGCAAUAAUUGGGUCGCUGUUGAUGUUCCAACAGUUAUCCAUAAGUCAACGUAAUGUGUUCAUUUUGUUUAAAAACCCCUUUCCCGUGCCAAAAGGAGAAGUGAUGACAUUGAUGGCAUAAUUUGAUUAAUACAAUGGUAUUCAUUCAAUAAUCACAUGUAAAUGUUUGUUUUCCAAAUUAUUUUCCCUUUUUGCUCUUUGCAUGAAAUUGGCGAUCACCAUAAAACCCUAAAAAGAGAAUAAAAUCAAUCUUUGCAUAUGCAUAAUGAUUUGCCUUUCUUGAAUUUUGAAAUCUCUUUUAUACUCAAAAUCAUUAUGCAGGUUAAUCAAACCCAUUGAACAUAAUGAUCCAACACCAUCUCCCAACUUUGAGUUCCCUCUAUUUGAAGAAAAAGAAGAUGAUGUUGAAGAGAAUCCUGAUGAGAUUACCCAUCUGCUUGAGCACGAGGAGAAGAUCAUUCAGCCGCAUCUUGAGAAUCUGGAAAUAGUCAACUUGGGGUCUGAAGACUGCAUUUGCAAAGUGAAGAUUGGGGCACUCCUUGAAGAGUCUGUUAAGAAGGGGUUGAUUGAGUUGCUACGAGAAUAUGUCGACGUCUUUUCCUGGUCGUAUGAAGACAUGCUUGGUCUAGAUACUGAUAUUGUGCAACAUUUCUUGCCAUUAAAUCCUGAGUGUGUGCCUGUGAAGUAGAAGCUCAGAAGAACUCAUCCUGAUAUGGCAGUAAAGAUUAAAGAAGAAGUUCAAAAGAAAAUUGAUGCUGGGUUUCUGUUGACUUCUACAUAUCCUCAAUGGGUGGCCAAUAUUCUGCAAAGUCGAAAAAAAAAGUUGAACAUGUAGAACACUUGUUGAAGCUUUUCCAGCAUUUGAGGAAAUAUAAACUCCUCUUGAAUCCGAACAAGUGUACAUUUGGAGUCCGUUCCGGCAAGUUAUUAGGCUUUAUUGUCAGUGAAAGAGGUAUUGAGGUUGAUCCGGCCAAGGUCAAAGCAAUACAAGAGAUGCAUGCGCCCAAAAUCGAGAAGCAAGUCCGAGGUUUUCUUGGCCGCUUGAAUUAUAUUUCGAGAUUCAUAUCCCACAUGACUGCCACAUGUGCACCUAUAUUCAAGCUCCUCCUGAAAGAUCAGCGUCAUGAUUGGACCAAGGAUUGCCAAAAAGCCUUUGACAGUACCAAAGAGUAUUUGUCUGAGCCUCCGAUUCUGUCUCCGCCUGUUGAAGGGAGACCUUUGAUUAUGUACUUAACUGUGCUUGAUGACUCCAUGGGAUGUGUAUUGGGUCAGCAAGAUGAAUCAAGGAAGAAAGAAUAUGCAAUAUACUAUUUGAGUAAGAAGUUCACCGACUGUGAGACUCGAUAUUCUAUGCUUGAAAAAACUUGUUGUGCUUUGGCUUGGGCUGCUAAGCGCUUACGCCAGUAUAUGUUAACUCAUACGACUUAGUUGAUAUCCAAAAUGGAUCCAAUCAAGUAUAUCUUUGAGAAGUCUGCUUUAACUGGGAGGAUUGCCCGUUGGCAAAUGUUGUAAUUUGAGUAUGAUAUUGAGUAUCGAGCUCAGAAAGCUAUUAAAGGUAGUAUCUUGGCUUACCACUUGACACAUCAACCAAUUGAGGAUUAUCAGUCUGUUCAGUACGACUUCCCUGAUGAGGAGAUUCUAUAUUUGAAAAUGAAAGAUUGCGAUGAGCCUACGCUCGACGAAGGGCCAAAUCCUGAUUCCCGAUGGGGUAUGGUGUUCGAUGGCGCUAUUAAUCAAUAUGGAAAUGGUAUUGGGGUAGUGAUCAUUACUCCUCAGGGCACACAUUUUCCUUUUACAGCAAGGUUAACUUUCAAAUGCACGAAUAAUAUGGCGGAGUAUGAGGCUUGUAUUAUGGGUUUGGAAGAGUGUAUUGAUCUUAGGAUCAAACAUCUUGAUGUUUAUGAUGAUUCGGCCCUUGUUGUUAAUCAGAUUAAGGGUGAAUGGGAAACGAAUCAGCCUGGCCUCAUCCCAUACAGAGAUUAUGCAAGGAGGAUUUCAACUUUCUUUACUGAGGUAGAUUUCCAUCAUAUUCCUCGAGAUGAGAAUCGGAUCGCAGAUGCUCUUGCUACACUUGCUUCGAAUGAUUAUGGUGAAAUAUUAGAAUGAAGUCCCCAAUAUCACCGUGAUGCGCUUGGAUAGACCAACUCACGUAUUUGCAGUUGAAGAAGUGAAAGAUGAUAAGCCAUGGUAUUAUGAUAUCAAAUGCUUUCUCCAAAGUCAUAUUUACCCGCCUGGGGCAUCGGUUAAAGAUAAGAAGACUUUGAGGAGAUUAUCUGGCAGUUUCUAUCUCAAUGGUGAUGUGCUUUAUAAGAGAAAUUUUGACAUGGUUCUGCUCAGAUGCGUGGAUAGACACGAACAAGACCUGUUGAUGACUGAAGUCAAUGAGGGUUCAUUUGGUACUCAUUCCAAUGGACAUGCCAUGGCAAAGAAGAUGUUGAGAGCAGGCUACUAUUGGCUGACGAUGGAGUCUGACUGCUGCAAGUACGUGAAGAAAUGCCACAAGUUUUUAGAUUUAUGCGGAUAAGAUUCAUGUUCCCCCGAGACUUCUGAAUGUUAUUUCCUUGUCGCGGCCUUUCUCUAUGUGGGGAAUUGACAUGAUUGGCAUGAUUGAACUAAAGGCGUCUAACGGUCACCAUUUUAUUCUCGUAGCUAUUGAUUACUUCACCAAGUGGGUUGAAGCGACGUCGUAUGCAAAUGUGACCAGGCAGGUGGUCGUGAAGUUUAUCAAGAACUAACUCAUAUGCCGAUAUGGUGUGCCAGACAAGAUCGUUACUGAUAAUGGAUCUAACUUGAACAACAAGAUGAUGAAAGAGCUGUGUAGCGAAUUCAAGAUUGCACAUCAUAAUUCUUAUCCCUAUAGACCCAAGAUGAAUAGGGUUGUUGAAGCUGCUAACAAAAACAUCAAGAAAAUUAUCCAGAAGAUGAUUGUUACGUACAAAGAUUGGCACGAGAUGUUGCCAUUUGCUCUGCAUGGUUAUCGUGCAUCUGUUCGCACUUCAAUAGGGGUAACCCCUUUCUCUUUUGUAUAUGUCAUGGAGGUUGUGCUCCCCAUAGAAGUUGAGAUCCCAUCAAUGAGAGUCUUGAUGGAAUCCAAGUUGAUUGAGGCCGAAUGGGUUCAGAGUCGUUAUGACCAACUGAAUUUAAUUGAAGAGAAUAGAUUAACUGCCAUGUGUCAUGGUCAGUUGUAUCAGCAGAGGAUGAAGAAAGCCUUUGAUAAGAAGCUCAAUCCUCGUGUGUUCCGAGAAGGUGACCUCGUGCUCAAGAAAGUCUUGUCUUUCGCGCCCGAUUCCAGGGGCAAGUGGACUCCAAACUAUGAAGGUUCAUAUGUUGUUAAGAGAGCCUUUUCAGGCGGUGCUUUGUUGCUUACAACCUAUGGAUGGGAGGAUUUCACUCGUCUUGUGAAUUCAGAUGCAGUCAAGAAAUACUUCGCCUAAAAAUAUAAAACAGAAUAGCUCGCUAAGUUGAAACCUGAAAGGGCGGCUUAGGCAAAAUGAGUGUCUCGGUGGAUUCGCGAAAGGCGGUCCAGGCAAAAGUUAGAUACAUCAAAAAAAUGAAAAUAAGUAUAUAUAUAUAUAUAUAUAUAUAUAUAUAUAUAUAUAUAUAUAAUAAUAUAUUAUAUUAUAUAUAUAUAUAUAUAUAUAUAUAUAUAUAUAUAUAUAUAUAUAUAUAUAUAUAUAUAUAUAUAUAUAUAUAUAUAUAUAUAUAUAUAUUAUAUAUAUAUAUAUAUAUAUAUAUAUAUAUAUAUUAUAUUAUAUAUAUAUAUAUAUAUACAUAUAUAUAUAUCCCGCUAGAUUGAGUACCUCAUCCUGGGGAAAUCUAGGCAAAAAUUAGGGAUUUGGCAAGUAAAUGCAUCCUGACAAGACCUUGCUCUACAGUUGUCUUCUAUCAAAGAUUCUCGCUCAGUCAUCGUCAACUGAAGCUUCAAAUACAUUGGAUUCAGAGUUGGUGGAGAAACGGUCAUUAUGUUCAAUGUAGCCCUUUUUCCAUGUAUAUCACCAAUUUCAAAUUUGUAAAGAUCCAUGGAGUCUCGCCAUUUGCGGACCGCCAUUCUAUCAAAUAAAUUUGAGCAUUUAUCCAAUUCUUGGCACUCUUAUUUGUUUCUGUUUAACAAAUGUUUGCAUGUUUUAAUUGAUAAAUAUCAUUGUUUUAAACAAAUAAAGCUUUUAUAAACUGAUUUUAAAAAAAGUGAACAUUCACAAAGGCUAAAAGGAUAAAUGGAAUGUCUUCAGUGCUCUCCCAAGGAUAGUAUGAUUUCCAAAAGGUAAGACAUUUGUUCAUAUUCUGGCAUGUUUAUGUCCUCUUCAUCAACUUCCAGUUAUCUCCUCAGCAAGAAGCUGUCUAGAACAUUUGGUGAAGGGUUUGCCCCUUUUCAUCCCCAACACGACACGUGAUUGACGAAGGAUUAAUUUCUGAUUCCCUCAGCCAAUGUAUCUCCUUUGAGAAGGUUGACAGUUUAUCCCCAGUAUGGUCGCCUACAGUUCAUCCCCUGCAGGGUUGCCUGAUCCGAGCUUGAUAACUUGUAUCCCCUCCAUGGUUGAAGUUUUCUUCUAAGUAUUGAGAUGAUGAGGAAGAUGUGUUAUUUCCUUCCCCAGCGGAGCAAUUUGUUCUUUCUCCCCUUAGUAGAGACGUCUCUCUAGUGGUUAGAAAGGAGUGUUUUGAUUGAUGAGUAUCUGUUUGGCGGUUGUUCCCCACGGAGUUUCACCUCCUACCUUGAUAAGCUCCCCAGUAGAGUUUCCUCAACGACGGAUCUUAUCCGCAUUCAGUCUCCUGUUCCCGAGAAGUGUUGGAAAAUCCUCGGUAGUUGGAAGCUGUGACUUUGCCUAUCCCCAGUGGUGGUCUAUGUCUCCUGGUAUUAGAUCAUCCCCACCAGAACUGAGUUCUCCUGUGGGCCCUACCCUCCUUUCUGAGAUGUUAUGCCGGAUGUCCGUUCGUGGCUCUUGAGCCUGUUUGUGUUAGAUAUGUCUGUCUGUCUGUCAGCAUUAAUCAUAUAUAAAUCACACAUAUACAUGCAUAAUCAUAGCAUUCAGAUAUCCAUGUUACAUUCUUUGCCAUAUAUCUUUGCUUGCUAUCUCCUGCUAUUGGUGAAAUGUUCUUCCCCAGGCAGAUGUAUGUGUCUGAUCUCUCCAUAUAGAGUCAGCCCCAUAGGCAGAAAGUGUCUAUCUUUCCUUCUUCCUUCCCCACUGAGUUAUGUCCUUGUGGAUGAUUAUUUGUUUCAGUUUCCUCCCCAGUUGUGUACCGGGAUGGAAUUACUCCCCUGAUUUAUAUCCUCAUCGGGUUGAGUCUUGUUUGAUUGUGUCUUUCUAGUUUGUUCCUGGAUUGAGUUUCCUUUCUUGUUAUCCCCUGCAGUUCCCUGUGGUUUAGUUGUUCAAUUGCUCAGUAACUAGUAAUUAUCCACCUUUUCCCCAGCGAAUUUUGUGGCCUUCUACCCAGUAACCGGUAGUUAUAAGUCCUAUUUCUGUGGUUUUCUACUCAGUAACUGGUAGAUGUAAUCCCCUCUUUGUUGGUUAUCUUUACCUAGUAACUGGUAUUAAUACUUCUUCGUUUUUGAGUAUACUACCCAGUAACCGGUAGAUGUAAUUCCCUAUUUGUUGGUUAUCUUUACCCAGUAAUCGGUAUUGAUACUCCUUCGUUUUUGAGUAUACCACCCAGUAACCGGUGAUAUAUCUCUGGAUAAUUGCUUAUGUUAAGCAAUUCAUCCCCCGCGAGUCAUCUUUCAUUUAACCUUGUUUGGUAAUGACUGUUUCUCCUUCUAAUUGGUCAUCAUUUUAUACCCAGUAAUCGGUAUCCCGAUGUCCUCCCUUUUCGGUCAAUUUAUCCUUUAUUUAACCCAGUAACCGGUUUUGGAUAAUCUUCCAUGCGAGUAUGUUAUCUACGUUAUGACGGUAAUAGAUAAUAUAUCUCAUACGCUCUUCAAUCGAAGUCUUUUCUUCCCCAGUUGAGUAAGAUUCGUAUUUCCUUAUGGAGUUGAAUGCCCAUCCUGUAAGUCGAGUUUGCUUUUUCAGCCCUCCUUUCGGAUGAUGAGUGUCUUGGAUAUGUUCCCAAUUCACGCUUGGUUGGUCACCUAUUAUAUGCCCAGUAACCGGUAUCCCUGGUAGUAAGUCGAGUUUGCUUUUUCAGCCCUCCUUUCGGAUGAUGAGUGUCUUGGAUAUGUUCCCAAUUCACGCUUGGUUGGUCACCUAUUAUAUGCCCAGUAACCGGUAUCCCUGGUGUCCCUUCCUUCUGCUCCUUAUUAUGACUUUUUGUCCCCUAUGGUGUCAGAUUUUCCUGAGUUGAGAUGUGCCUUUUGGGUCCUCCUCAGAUGUUUCGGAUGAUUGAUAUCUCUCACCUUUAUACCGGUCUUAGAUAUUCUUUCUCCCUGAGCAUGUUGUUCUCUCACCCAGUAACCGGUGUUUUGAUGACAUGUCUCUCUUUGAGUUUAUUACCCAGUAGCCGGUAAUAUCUCGUUGUUUCUUUCUCAGCUGAGUCCUUUGUGGACAUCCCCGUCUGAGUCCAGAUUUUUAUCCGAUGUAUCCUUUAUGGAUAGUUUUGCUGUAUUGGCAUAUCCCCCAAUACAUGCAUCUUUGCGUCAGCUCGAGUCUUUCCAUCGAUUUAUUUUCAUGGAAUCCCUUCAUGUCUCCCAGAAAGUUUUCAAGUUGUGACCUGCUCACACAAUUUUUCUUAUUUUCCCCAGAGUCUUUGUCUCCCUAGCGAGUGUGUUACUCCUAUGGAUCCCUCAGUUUCUCCCGAUUUCUUUUCCUUCGUGGCAAUUAUUCACCAUGAAGAUUUUAUUUUUGCAUACAUACAUUUGCAUCAUGAGGUCUCUUAAGGACCAAAAUUUGUCUCUUUGUUAUUAUUUAAGCCCAUUCUACCUCGUUGAGACGAAGAUUUUAACCUUCAUAUCUCCGGCUAGAAUGACCCUAAAUAGGGACAUCUGUAAGACCCUAAUUUUGACCCUAAGAUCCCUCAUGGCAUCAUAUCAUUUGCUCAAUGCAUUUCCUCAAGGAUCAUGGCAUAUGUGGCUCCUUAACCCUAGGGUUGAGACUUGUGUGAGUUAGUUUGAGAUCACCAAGCAUGCUUGUAUUCUAUAUUAUUGCUUUUCUUAUUUUGUUUACUAACCAAAAGUACAAAAAUAUGUCACUAACUCUUUUUGUUUUGAAGCUCAAGUGAUCAUGUGCUCCCAUGCUCCUAGGAGGCUCCUAAGCUCAAUGAAGUGGCUAGAUGAGGAUGAGAAAAAGCAUGAAAAUGGUCUACAAAGUUCCUAAUCAUCAUAUAUGUCUCCCAAGUAUCUCAAUUUUCCAAUUUGAUCAAGAUAACCCAAAGGGCUUGAGGAUUGUUUCCCAAGGAAACCCUAAUUCAAUUGUGCAUUGAUUGUGCCUUGAUCAUGAAGCAACCUCAACCUAUGAUCAAAUCUAAUCAAGGGAAGUUCUUUCAUGCAUUAUUUUAUGCAUAUAUGAGCCUAUUUGAGGAUCCUCAAUCAUUCAUUUAUCAAGAUUUGAAGUUUGACCUUGAAAAGUUGACCAGUCAAGUCAUCUGACUAAACUGAGGAUCACUGAGAUACAACUUGUAAUGUGUUUGUCAAAUGAAGAUGACCCCAAGAGAAAAAAGGUUCUUAAUAACCAUAUUAACAACUUUCAUGUUCAUCAAAAAUCCAUUUGAAACUUGGAAGGUCAUCAUUAUUAUAGGUCAUUUUGACUGAAACCCUAAUUUUGGGUCAACUUCCCAAGGACCUAACUACUUUAAUUUUUAUGAUUUUGAAGUGAGAUCAAAUGCAUUGGAAAUUUUAAGAUGUCUACUUCAAAUAUUAUGUUGUAAAAGAUUUCACAAUCCUAAAAGAAACACAUGUGAUAAUACAAAACAUUAUAGGUCACUUUGGACCUAAGUCAUUGUAUUUGAAAAAUGUCCAACUUCAAGCGCCCAUAACUUUCUCAUUAAAAAUCCAAAUUAUGAAAAAUUUAAGUCUAAAUUGAUCAAAUUGAAGAUAUAUACAACUUUGAUGUUGGAGGUUUUUUCAUUUGAAGCUUACAUCAUUGUAACAGAAAGGCUUGAAGAUGCUUGUUUUUAGUAAAAAAAUUUAAAGGGAACCUAAACAUGUUUUGUACCCAAACCUUCACAGCCAGUUUUAAUAAAUUUCCAAUUGCGAAAUGAAUUUUUUCCCAACAUGACUUUUGUUCCUUAUUUCAAGGGCUUUCCAACCAUCACUCACAUUAAUUUUUUGGACUUUCCAUGUGGGAGUUUCGAAGAGCUUUAUGUUUAUGUUCAUUUUUGCAUUUCACAUUGAAACUUCAUGUGCAAGCUAAUGCCACUCCAAUUGCACGUCUAAUUCACUUACAUUUGAUCUCAGCAUGGAUUUGCAUUCAUUCUUGGGCCUUACAUGUGCCUGUACAGGCCCAUGCAAGGAGGAUUCAAACUUCAUGCACACAAGCCAAGCAUUGCCUUGCAUCACAUUCCAGCUAUAAAUAAGAGUGCAUUCUCAUUCAAAUGGUAACCAAGUGGAGAUCUGAAUUGCUGUUGAAUUGAAAUCCAAACCCUCACUAAAGGAAUUUUUAGUUUUCAUUCUCUUUUUCAAGCUUGAAUUUCAUCAUCAUUAGUUGAUCUUCAAAGCUCAAUUCCUUAACCUAGCAUCACCAUCACACUUCCAGAGCAAAAAUAGAUCAAGAGCUUGGAGAAUUCGUGUUAUUUGAAGCUCCAUUUUAGAGGUAGAACAUCAAACUUUCUUGAUCUAGAUCUUGCAAUAUAAUGUGAAUCUCUUUGGUUUGUGCUGUUUUUUGAAGUCCUCAUGCAUGAGGCAAGCCAGUGGUGGUCUUAAUUUUGCAAAUCGUGCCAUUUCAGUUCAUGUACCAUGAUCUUCAAGCUCAUGUUUCUCUCUAAAUAGGAACUGUGAGGAGGGUCCAUGGUUACAGGGGUGAUGUACAUCACCUCAGCUUCAUUUUGAUAUCCUCAAUUUUCAUUUUCAUUAAGCUUUAAUUUCCUGUGCGUUGUGGCCGGAUCUGGUUAGAUCGCCGGAGAAGAUGGUGAUUUCCACCACCAUCUCCACGUGGUAGCUUCAGGGUCAUUGGAUCAUGCUCAAAUGUUUUAAUCGUGGCCUUUCAUUAUGUUGACUCAUUUAAAUGCAAAGUGUAGCGCGCUUGACUCAAGUAUUUUGUGUAUCCGUGCUUUAGAACCACAUGAUCUUUGCCACGUCAAUUAAUGAAACCAUCUGAGGGCGCUGGAUUUUCCUGAUUUUCUUAUUUUUGUUUUAAUUUCAUUUAAUUCCUUUUAUUUUCGAAAAUUCAUAAAUAUUUUAUUUGAAGUCACAAAAAUAUGAGACCAAUGCCAAAAAAAUUCUUGAAAAAUCUAGUUUCAUAUUUUGAUUUUUAAUUAUUUUUGUGACUUCAUUUAAUAUUUUUUGUGAAUCAUUUGAUUUUUAAUAGUUUUAAUUCAUUUUUAAUUACUUUCUGAUAUUUGAAAAAUCCAAAAAUAUUUUCCUAACACAUAUGGAUCAUGAAAAGUCAAUGAAAAAUAGUCUCAUCAAUUUCUUAUUUGAUUUGAGAUUUAUUUGAGAUUUUAGUUCAUAUUGUGUUAUUUUUUAUUGUUUAUAAAUUGUUUGACCAUGUUAGACCUAUGAGAAUUUAAUUGGACUUGUUGAAGUUGAUUGGAAUUAAAUUUGAGGUUUGACCAUAUUUUGUUUAUUUUAUUUUGCAUUUAUUUUUAAUUCCAAAAAUACCAAAAAAAUGUGGUUGACUUGUUUACUUGUAACCUUCAUUUCUUUUCUGUUUAGCAUUGAUUGAUGAUGAUUUGGUUCACUUUUGACCAAUUGAGUUUGAUACUUGAAUUCUCUUUCCAUCCAUUUCAUCUUCAUCCCUUUCUUUUCAUAAUUUGGCCAAUGAGUUAAUGUCUUAUGGUUGGUCUUGACAAAUGAGAGGUUUACCUUUCUUUUCAUAAUUUGGCCAAUGAGUUAAUGUCUUAUGGUUGGUCUUGACAAAUGAGAGGUUUAACCUUCUUUGAUCCAAACCAAACUCAACUUGAUCCAAGAUCAAGUGAGUUGUUUUGUGUCAAAGAUAGGUUGCUUCUUGGUCAAGCAAAAAACUUAAAGUCCACACAAGGCCCUUCCCCUUUUGUUUUGGCAUGGCAAGUUUGUGGGGCUUGGCUUACUAGUCAUGAUCUCUAACUUGUGUUUAUUUGCCUAUAGUUUUAUUGACCGACCUCAGAUAGGUGUGACUACUACAUUAGUCCACUUACGAUUGCUUAACAUAGCGCUACAUGGUCUUAUGACAAACUAACAUAACUUCACUAAUUACUAACUUUAAUUUGAGCAUUUAAUUUCUUGCCCUUUACUUUAAUGCAAUUUAUUUCUUGCUCAUUUAUUCAUAUUGCUUUUCACUUUGCUCACUUGAGCACAUAUUUUAUGUUUAAGUCAUUUUUCUUUUGCUCAUUUGAGCUCAUUAUUGUAUAUAAAUAUAUUGUUAUCUUGUGAUUGUUUUGUCUUUGUUUUGUGUGAACCCAAUCCAAAAAGGAGAAAGGACUUAGAACUAGGACAUACCCAUGCUUAAAGGAGUUCAAGAGCAACUAGGCCUCAUGCCUUUAGAAUGCUAAACUUGUUGAAGUCGUUGAUCCGGAGUACGGAAAUCUUACGUAAACUUGUUGAAGAGCAACUAGGCCUCAUGCCUUUAGAAUGCUAAAUUUCAAAGUUGACUUUAAAGGACUUCUCAUCUAAACUUAUUCUUUGUCCAUCCCCCUUAUUGUGUUGUGAACUUUUUGAUGUUUGAUCUUGUGUGAUAGGGAUUCCAUCUUGAGAUUGUGUAGGAGGACCAUUGUCAUGAGUAACCAGGUUAAGAGAGACAAGCCAAAUGGAGAUCCUAGGAGCUUGAAUCCAAAUUAUGUGAUUGCUUGUUUGUGUGCUAAGUCCAAAGGAAAGGAGCAUCUUGAAUCAUCUCUAUGAUUUCAAGAAAAGGAACUCCAAGGGUUUAUCUUUCCUCUCUUAUCUUUGAAUUGCUUUAGGACUAGCCCUUCUCUUCUUCUCUCCACUCUAACCCAAGCCAAAAAUCUUUCCUUCAAACUUUGACUUUGUUUCAAAUUAGAAACCUAGGCCUUAUGCCUUUGACUUUUCAAAACCAUUUUCAUCAAUACUCAUUGUGAAUAAAUCUUAAUCCAACUUUGACUUCAUUUUGUAAAUAAAUUUAACUUGUAAAUAUAACUCACUUCAAGCUGUUUUGUGGUUCCAAUGGCCACCUUAUUAAAACCUUUUCAAAAACAUUAGUCAUAUGUUUGAGUUAUCAUAGUGGUUGAUGUAAAUCUCACCUCAUCCUUAGUGAUUGGAUUAUAAGCCUUCCAUGCUUAUUAUAGGGUUAACCCCUCACUAGUAUGUUGAAGCCUUCCUCGCAUGGUAGAUUGUUGGUUUAGGUUGAGUUUUCUCCCUUUGAUAACAAAAGACCUUAAGGCUUUUGAUCAAAUCAAUUCACCAAUCUUUAAGAUUUUUACCCCGAACUACGAGAUUUUGAUCCUACCUUUGUGAUGGUAUGUAGGUAAUGGGUUCAUCCAUUCAAACAAAAAAAAUUGUAAAUAUAAUUUAUUCUCUUCUCAUCCCCCCAAUCUUUUGCACAAAUCUUUUCACAAAUACCAACCUACAACACAUAUUUGCAAAAAGAGGUUCCCUUAGAGUACUAAGGAUGUUUUGGGUGCGUAAAACGCUUCCAUUUUCAUAACCAACCCCCGUUACCCAGAUCUCUGCAUUUUUAUUAGUUUUUGAUUUGAUAAAACUUCUUACUUGGCUUUUGUUCACUUUUUAGCCUUUCCUUUGGACAAAUAAAAGUGUGGUGGCGACUCGAAUUGUAUGUUUACUUUUGGUUUAGUCAAUAAACCUAUAGGUAACGAAAACCCCGCUACAUGUAUAUCUUGACAAAUAGCCCAACAUCAUCAUCAUCAUCAUAGUUAUUUUCAUCCCUUUCUUCGCACUCACUAGGCUCAUUCUUUGAGGAAUUUAAACUAGAAGUCUUUAGAGAAAUGAACUUCUUCACCUCUUCCUUAUCUUUACCUUUCUCUUUCUUCAUCUUCUUUUCAUACUCUUUUUCAUGUUUUUCCAAGCAAGUGAAUUCUUGCUCAUGUUCUUCCAAUUUACUAAAUAAAAUAGUAAGAUCAAGUGCUUUAAGAUCACUCGCCUCUUUGAUAACGGUGAUCUUGGGUUUCCAUUCCCUAUUAAGAUAUAUUAAAACAUUGUUAGUAGAAAUAACAUUGGAGAUAGGAUUACCUAGAGCAUUUAAUCUAUUAAUAAUAUGUGUGAAUCUCUUUUGCAUGUCAGUAAUGGUUUCACCAUGCUUCAUACGAAAGAGUUUAAACUCUUAGUUUAAUGUGUUGAUUCUAGCUUGUUUGACCUCAUUAGUUCCCUCAUGGGAAACUUCUAAUGCGUCCCAUAUAGCUUUGUCGGUUUCAUAAUGAGAAACACGAUAAUGCUCAUCAACACCUAAUGCGGAUAUGAGAAUAUUUUGUGUUUUCCAAUCACGAGACCACAACUUCCUAUCAUUAUCAUUCCAUUAAAUUUUCCGGUUUUGGUACAAUGACACUUUCACCAUUGGUCAUUGUAAUUUCGUUAGGACCGUUGAUGAUGACGUCCCAUACACCCUUAUCAGCGGAGUUGAUAUGGGUACACAUAUAAGCUUUCCAACAACCAUAAUUUUUGCCGGUGAAAAUAGGUGCUCUAUUAUAGGCCCCUUUAGGUUCGAUAGCCGUCAUCUAAUAAGCAAAUCUUAAGGCCGAAAACAAUGGGAGCUCUUGAUACCACUUGUUAGACGAUAAGCCUGGAUCUAGAGGGGGUGGGUGAAUAGAUUCAAUGUUAAAAAUUUAUUCAAAAAUUUGUCUUAGAAAAAUUUAUGAUGCGGAAGCAAGUUUUAAAUAUUUCUUGGAUCAAAACUUGUCUAACCGAACCUACUAUUGAAUAGCCCGGAUAUGUGUAAAGGUGUCAAUGGUAUGAUAAUAAUCCACAAGUUGAUUAAUAAUAAUUUAUACAACAGAUUGAAUACUCUACUAUUGUAAAGAUCUAUCUCCAAUGAUAGUAACACACAAAAAACUAGUUGAAACAAUUUGUCGAACACUUUGUGUGCAAUCAACAAAGUUUGGAUAUUUGUUUAGUGUUUGUAGUUCUUAGAAAUCCAAUCAUUGCCAAAUGGUAUGUGAAGAUACACUAAAUAUACUCGAACACAUCGCAUGAUCGAACAUACAAUAGAGUAGCCACUGAACUUUAUUUAUCCCAAAAGAGGGAAGUGAAAAUAUCGAUAAAACCAAAGGGAAAACAAAGAAAACAGUUAAGGAAGUCAUUUAUGCAAGAGGAAGGUAUUAGCAUCCCUGACAUCCAUGGUACUCCAUGGGAACCGUUUUUAAUGCUCUUGCUUGGAUGGGGGUUGUUAUCUUCAUGUACCUGCAAAAAAUGGGUUAGAAAAAGAGUGCUCGAGGAAGAUUGGGCCAUCAUGCCUACUUAUUCUCAUAGUGCAAUGAGAAAGUCAGAGCCUUAUAAUUUGUGGAACUAGAGAGAGAAAAGGGGGAAAAGAAAGAAAAGUGCUCGUCAAGGAUUCACAUCCUUCUGCCUACAUACCCUCAUAGUGUAAUUAGGAAGUCAGAGCUCUGUAGUUCGGAGCACUAAGACUGAAAGAGAUGAUGAUCAGGGUGGUGUUUAAACCAAAAGAAAAAGGGCUUACCAAAGCACUAGAACUAACAUGAAAGAAAUGAACGUGUGUCCCUGAAUUAUAGUGUCAUAACCAAGAACAGAAAGAUAAAGGUGGUGUCAAAAACACGAAGGGGGUUAACCAUGAAGGUGUGUACCUGAAUUGUAGUGUCAUAACCAAGAACAUUAAGAUGAAAAUGGGGUCAAAACAAAGAAGGGGGUUAACAGUGAAGGUGUGUCCCUGAAUUGUGGUGUCAUAACCAAGAACAGAAAGAUAAAAGUGGUGUAAAAACCAAGAAGGGGGUUAACCAUGAAGGUGUGUCCCUGAAUUAUGGUGUCAUAACUAAGAACAUAAAGAUAAAAAUGGUGUCAAAACUAAGAAGAUGGUUUACCAUGAAGGUGUGUCCCUAAAUAGAUGAUUGCAAUGGUGUUUAAACCAAAAGUAAAGAUAAAAGAAGCCACAUGGUUGAUUGCAAACUUGAUAGUGAAUUGACUGGAAUUACACUAAAGUCUAUAAAUAGAGGUGAAUACUCUGAGCAAAUAAGGUCGACACCCCGUGCACAGAGGUACUCUAGAUAAGGGUAGGAAAGAUUUCCUCUCAUCACUCUAUUUCUUAAGGCUUAGGGCAUGUAAGCCUAGUCAAUGUUUGAUAAGUAGUUGAAACAGGUUCCCAAAGAUACUUAUGGGGAGGAAUCAGAUGGUUGAGAUUUGUUGAGGAAAUUUGUAGUCCACUGAAAUUCGUGUACUUGUUGAGAGGCUGAAGCUCCAAAGUGGCAGAGGUAAGUCCCGUCAAGUGACCAAUGGGCUUAUGGUCACUUGAAAAAGACUAAUGGGAAGUGUAGCAAAUGAAAGGAUCUAGUUUAUCAAAAUGUAAUUUGAUCAAGCCAAAUAAAAGGAAUGAGAUUGAUGAACAAACAAUAUGCAUGAUUAUACAAUAACUAACUUAUGGUCUCAUUGUUAGGUAGCCCAAGAGAAAGUCGUGUGGAUGCCAAGUAUAUUGUCUUAUGCCUCAUUGUUAGGUAGCCCAAGAGAAAUCUAUGUGGGUGCUAAUAUGCGCUAAGCCUAAGUAGAUGAAUGCAAUAAGCACGAGGCAUAAACAAAAUGAAAAAAAUCACAAGCUCAAAAGUUUAACAGGAACAAAGGGAAGUCAAAAUGUCCACAAGGUCCAAGGGUUCAAGGUCACUCCAAGUCAAGCAAAGGGCCUAAAUCCUAAGUCCAAGAUCCAAAGUCCAAGAGGUCAUCAACACCCCAGAUCAAGCAUAAGUUUAAGAUUAAGUCAAGUCACUUUAUCAUGUUUUAAUUCAUUGAGAUUAACAAGUUGGUCAAUCAAACAAGAUAAGAAACAACAGAUGAAAGCAAGAUGAAUAAAGUAUGAAGUGAGAUGAUGAUUAAUGAGAUAUAAAAGUGAAGUGCAUUAAGUAAAGGCAUAAAAGUAAAUGACUUGAAUUAAAAGACUAAAAUUAGAUGUCAAUGAUUAAUGUUAAGAGUUAAUUAUCAAUCAAUUGUGUCAGGACAAUUUAGCGUUAUGUUAAGCAAUCGUAAGUAGCCUUAUGUAGAAGCCAUACCUAUCUGAGGCCGAUCAAUAACAAUUUAUGUAUCAGACAUGUUAAAUAAUUAACACAAAGUUAAUAUCCUAUAACAUGUAACACAAUGAUUAAAGCAAGAGAAGAGAUGGAGAUGAAGAUAAAAAGAGUGGAGGAGAGAGCUAAGGCAAUCAUACAGGGAUCCAUCUAUCCACAAAUCAAAGGACUUAAAAUAUGGUGCAUCAAGGGACAACCUAUCAUUAAUGCAAAAAAUUGAAGAUGAUUCAUGAUCUUCUAUCAACAGAUUUAAAUUAAAAAAGGUUGAAUCAACCUCAAAUCCAUCUAUUAAUGAUUUGAGAUGUGGAAGACAUCAUCGACUAAGCAAUCAACUUAGGCAAAAACAUCAAGUGAAUAAUAAAAAAUUAAUAAAAAAGAUUCAAAAUGAUUUAAUAAUGAUUUAAAAUGAUUAAUAAAAGGAAAUAAAAGAGAAAAUGUCAAAGAGGUACCAAAACAUCAAAUAAAAGUCAAAGAAAAAUGGAGGAAGUCAACAAAAUUAUAAGUAAUUUAAUCUCAAAAGUUGGGAUGAAAAAUGUUUGAAAAUGAUUAAAAUAAAAAUAUUAAAUGAAAAUUAAAUGGUAAAUAAAAGAAAAUACGAAUAAAACGCAACAUGAUUUUUUAAAAAUUAUGCAAAAAUUAUAUGUGGUAGAGAAUAUUUUUAUGAAAUUAUGAAAAACAAUUGGAAUAAAAAAUAAUAAAGGAGCUAUAUAAAAUGAUUUUUGGAAGAAAAGGGAAAUUAAAUGAAAUAAAAUAUAAAAAUAAAUAUUUGUAUGUAACGGCUAUGAAGAUGGCGCGUCCCGGUUGGCCAAGGGAUUCAAAUUUCCUUUUGAAGCGCGCGAAGCAACUUUGUCUUCAACCUCCGUGUUUGAUUUUCGCAGGUUCAUGAACUUGAAGUUUUAAGCACAAACACAUAUUGUGCAAGCUUCUACUCCAUUCAUCGUUCAUAUCUCUCUGUAUCAGAGCAACUGAUUUGCUAUGAGCAUAGAGACUUUGCUCAAACUCGGGAAGAACCCUAGUUCUUCAAAGUUAAAUUAAAUGACUCAAAACAAAAUAUAAAUCAAAGUUAGAUGAAAUAUUUCAAUAAGUGGAAUCACACGAAGAGAAUGUUAACUUGUUUGAAGUGUAAUUUUACUCGUAAACCUUGUCCAAAUUGAAGCACGAGGUCAAUAAUGGUGGAACCAGAAGCAAGGUUGCAGGGGUUUUCAUACCACGACAAUGCUUUAGACAACUUCAGAUGAUGCCGAUGAAGGACUCUGAGCAGAAGUUUGAAAGCAAAAGGACUUGAACCAAAGAAAUGAGUGACUGGUUUUUUGGUGCUUUCGAGUUUUAGUGAAGCAGGGGUUUCUUGGCUAUUGAAGCUUGGAAAUGAAGGAAAACCCUCCCCUAUUUAUAGGGAAGAAAGUGAAGUCAAGGUUCGUGUUAUAUUGGACCCCAAACAUGUGAAUCAAAUCCAAAAUUUUGAGAUUCAAAUCGUGUGAAAAAUUGGCACCAAACUCAUGAUUUUGGCGCUUUGCAAGUCGUUUUGUGUUAUGGUGAGAUAUGUUUGGUCAUUAGAAAUAAGUUUGCACGUGUGAGAAGUGGUCCCAAGUUCAAUUUGGCAUGAUAUCACAUUAUAGGUCACGGUGCAAAACAGAGUUUAGGUCACAAUGUUCAUGCUUAGGCCAAUUACAAUCCACUUGUGCAUUUUCCAAUUUUCUUUGAGCCAAAUGAUCCCUUCAUAGAGUAGAACACAAUGCAAAAAGAACUAAGUUGAAAGGAUGUUUAAGGUGAAAAUGGAAUGCUUGGGCAUUUGGGGUCGUGACCUAAAAUUUAGGUUGGGCAUUUGGUCAAGCAGCUUUUGGCAUGUUUGGUCAUUUUGAGGUCCCAAGUUGAUGACACCAUAACUUUUUAUUCCCUCGUGCAUUUUGAGCCUAACUUGGGACAAAUGAUAUUUGACAUAAGCUUAAUAAUAUGAAAAAGGAUUGGGAUCAAAAUGAUGCUUGAUAUGAAAAUGGCAAGAGUGGAAAGUCGGGGUCAGGGCAAGGUUUUGGGAACUUGGUCCUUUGCACUAAUGAGGUCCUUAAUGAUUGAAUUGAUGUUUGACCCUUGAAGAAAAGUUGUAGAGGAUCGCAAAAGGCACAUUUGGUUUAAAUAAGAUUGGCAAUUGGAUAAAAGUUGAAGAAGUUAUGGAGUUUGGACCAAAUACAUGGCGUACUUGCAAAUUAGGUCAACCAUACUUGUGCCCCUUUGUGCCAAUUUGAAGUUUUCUUGCAUUCCAAACCAUAAUGAUGAUGGAAUAAGCAUCAUUUAAUGAAAACUUGAUUAGAGCUUAAGUAAUAUUGAGGAAAGCUUGAAGAUUGAGUGAUGUGGCAUGGAAAUAAACACAUGGACCACUUUUGAAUCACAAUGAAGCAAACCUGCAUUUCUCUUGAACCAAAGACCUUUGUCUUGCCUUGGUUUGGAGCAUGAUCACCUAUAUGUACAACAAGAACAACCAAGUACCAACUCUUAUUGAAGUUAGUGUUAGUUGAUAAGCAAAAAACAAGAUGAAACCCUAAUGUUAAGAAUCAAACUACAAAGUGGCUAUGCUUGUGAUCCCAUGACCAAAUGCAAUGGUUAUGCAUGAUAUAAUUUGAUGUAUGUAAAUGAAUUGUGCAAAAGGAAAAAGAGAGGGUAAAUUUUAGGGUAUGACAAGUGCCCCUAUUUAAUCAUCUUAAACAUGAAGGUGCGAAUUAUGUUGGCUUUUCGGGUGUUCAAGGUAAAAGAGGAUUAAAUACAGAAAUAACCAAAAAAAUCCUGAGAUAAAAGGAGUUGUGUUGUAAGGAGUAACAGAUAAACUUGUUGGUUUAGUUUGUUGGGGAUAGACUGAAAUAUUCCGCUGGAGGGAGAUAGAUCAACUGCAAAGAAAAAUGAUUGAUAUGCAUGGUGUAUGCAAUGUAUGAUUGUUUAUUUAUGAUGUAUAUGCAAUGUGACAUUGGGUAGUGAGAUAAGGAUUUUUUGGUCAGAGAUAUACUUCGACUCGUCAAUAUCCACACCAGAGAACUUGCAAUGUAAAGCUUCCAUGUUAUCAUUGCUGCUGGGGAAUAUCUUGUUGGCUAAGGACCAUCAUCUGGCUCUGUAGGGGAAGAAGGAUGCACGAUCCGACCGAGCAAUUAUUGAGAUACAAUCAUACAACAAACGUUUACUGUAGACUACCGACAAUCCACUAAGGAUUUUUUAUCAAUCAAAGAAAUGUAUAAAGUUUUCCUUUUGAUUUAGCUUUUUCUUAUUCUCAAAAUUUUAUGACACUAUACAAUCAAGAUUGGUAGUUAUUUUGCAAACAAAAUACGGAAAAAUAAAAAGAUGAGAAAUUACUGAAUAACGACUGAAUUUAUUGAUUAUGGAAAUUGUGUACAUGUAUGGUAUGUACAAAGAUGCAAAAAUACUUAAAGAGGAAAUUGCAACUAUUGAAAAACAAAUUAAAUGGCAAUGAGAAAUUUGUUUGAUUUCCACUGAUUACAACAUUGGCUUUCAUUUGUUGUAGCGAUGGGCUUUAACACUUUGUUUUUAUUGAUGAUGAUUUGACUGAUAUGAUACCGUCGGAGGCUAAGCUAAGGGUGAGAAUAUGCUCAAAAUAUAACGUCAAAAUAUAGUCAAAUGCCUUUAUCCUUAACUUUUGUGUGGAAUUUUUUAUUCAUAGAAGUUGUCUUCUAUCAUAUCUUAGUUUCCAUCUUUAUCUCAUUCAUUAUCACCAGAUAUAGUUGGAUCUACUCUUUCCCUUCCUGGACUCAUAGUCAGUUCAACCUUAGGUUCGACAGAAGAAGAUAUGUUCACCUUCUCCUUUGGGGGCCUCCUCUCCACUUCAAAUUUUGAUUUAAUGGGUGAAAGUGGGGGAGAGUUAUUUCUUUGGUCAGAUUUCUAGCAAUUUUACUGUUAGAUCAUGGGUUCUGGUUGUUUCCAAAAUCUUGCAUCUCUCUGAACACUUUCUUUUAGAGCUAAUAUCUACGACACUAUGUUCGAUGAUUGGAUUUUUUCCCUUAAAAUUUGGAUUAUAUGAAUGGUUUUUGGUGACCUGUGAAUUUUCCACGUGUUUCCAAGUUGUGUUUAGAGCCAACACCUCUCCCUUAUUUUGGUUGGUCCCUGCCUUGUCUUGGGGGUGCCUCAAUUUUCCCACAGGUGCCUUCCACCGAGGCAUAAAGGUCAUGGGGCGACCACCUUUGUGGCUUGGAGCCACAUUUUGUGUCCUGUAGGGAACAACCCUCUUAUUAAAAGCAUAUUUUGAUCUUUGCUAGGGCCAUUUUCCUUCUAUAUAUAGUUGAGGCUUGGUUUUUUCAAGGCUCUCAGUGGCCUUUUUGUCGAACACGAUGCUGCAUUUGGGAUAAAACAUCACUCCUGAGACCUUUAGCUUGUAACGGUUGAGGAAGACGACAUGCUCCUCUUCAAUGGUAUGAUAUGUUGCCUUAAACUUCUCAACAUAGCUUGAUCUAUAGACCUUCAUCUCUAUGUCGGGACUUUCAGUAGCCUCAACCAUUAGGCAUUCGACGAGCUCUACAUAGUAAGCGUCCUUAAUCUGUAAAGGAUCAAAGUUAACCUUCAUUGAGGUCUUGGCUUCGUUAGCCAAUUUCGGCCUUCCUUUAUUGAUUGCUCCUUGAACCAAAUCCCUGAAAAGGACACAAUGAGAGGUUUUAGGACACAAUCGAGUUUUAUUUUCCACUUGCUCGAAGCGAUUCAAAAUCUUUUUCUUAAUAAAAUUGAAAGAAGAGGAACAUUGAAGUUUUGCAUUCCAUGAAAACCUCGAAUAGUCGGCCGCGAGGCAUACAUCUUAGAAUAACUGUGUUGGUGUAAGCCCUAGAGGCCAAUACUUUUGGUACUUGUAUCGAAUUAUUUAUUAAUAAUAAAAGGCUUUUUCUUUAUUAUGUUUGUUUAAUAAAGUCCCUAUAAUAGCUAGUCCGUUUAAUGUAUGAGUAUUGACUUAAUCAUGAGAUCACAUUAAACAUAAGGACACUAUUCUUAAAGUAUCUGUAGUCGAGCUUUACUGUGAAGUGGUAUAAUAUUAAAGCAUUAAGACUAUUAUGUAUAUAGACUGAUGAUCACAUCUCAUGGAUCAUGGUAAGGAGUUAUCAAGUCUUAAACAUAGGUAUGAAUAUUAAGAGUAAUUUUAUACUGGAUUGACCCGCUAUGAGAAUACUAUAUAGAAUGUUAUGCAAAGUGUCAUAAGUUAUUCUCAUGGUGAUAAUGGUGUAUACCACCCUUCGACCUGAAACCACUAUGGACCCUAGAUGUAGAGUUGAGUGCUUUAUUGUUGAUCAAACAUUGUCCGUAACUGGAUAACCAUAAAGACAGUUGAUGGGUACUCCACGAACAUGCUAAGGGACAUGAGUGACCUAGAUGGAAUUUACCCAUCCUGCGUAACAGUAUAAAUGUCUAUGGGCCAAUAUUAAACUGGACAAGGAUGACACGGUCUAUGCUUGUGUUCAAUAUAGACAUAAGAGGCAAAAAGGUAAUUAUACACAUUCAGUUAUUAUCACAUAAGGAUUUGUCAGAUCACAUGACAUUUUCGUGUCUUGGGUAGCAGUGAUGUGUUGCUAGAUACCGCUCACUGUUUAUUAUGUUAAAUGCGUGAUUUAAUAUAAUUGUCAAUGCGCGAAAACCUGCAGGGUCACACACAAAGGACGGAUUGAGGAGAGAUAGAGUAACUAAGGAACACCGUAAGGUACGGUGCACUUAAGUGAAUUGUAGAACAUUGUAAGGUACGGUGUACUUAAGUAGAAUACGAAAUAUGGUAAUGUACCACGUGCUUAAGUGAUUUUGGCAUAUUAUAAGAUAUGGGUCACAUACACUUAAGUGGGCUUUUUUAGCUUAUAGCCCACACAAGUGGUUCUAUAAAUAGAACCCUUGUGCAGAAACAUUUAGUGCAGUUGCAAUUUUCGUUUUCUCUCUCUCUCUCUCUCUCUCUCUCUCUCUCUCUCUCUCUCUCUCUCUCACACACACACACACACACACUCACUCAAAGCCUUCAUUCGUAGUAGCUAGCAUCUCUCUCUCUCUCUCUCUCUCUCUCUCUCUCUCUCUCUCUCUCUCUCUCUCACACACACACACACACACACACUCACUCAAAGCCUUCAUUCGUAGUAGCUAGCACUGAGAUUGAAGGAAUCCGUUCGUGUGGACUGAGUAGAGGCGUUGUCAUCGUUCAACGUUCGUGAAUGCUCCGUAGAUCUGCAUCAAAGGUUUCGAUCGUCACAAGAGAUCUACACCAAAGGUUUCAAUCGUCACAAGAGGUAACGAUUCUAUCACUGAUCAUGCCCAUUCGUAAGGAUCACUAAAGGAGAAAAUUUUAAUUUCCACUGUGUUUUGGAUCGCCACUUCUCCUUCAAACCGCUCAUUCUUUCUUUCGUUUUAAAACACUUAAUUUAAAUUUAGACAAAAAAGGAACAUUGGAGUCUAGCAUUCCAUGAAACCCUUGAACAAUCGGUUCUUAGGCACACAUCUCGUUCUUACUGAGUGUUAGUUGUCCAUCAAAUUAUAAACACCUUGAAUGAAAAAGGAACAUUGGAGUCUCACAUUCCAUGAAAAUCCCGAAUAAUUGGUCUCGAUGUACACAUCUUGGUCCUACCGAGCAUUCGUCAUUCGCCUAAAAAACACUCAACACAUCAAACUUAUCUUUUAUCUCCCUCGCGCGAUUAAAAACCCUUUUCAUAAAUAAAAGAUGCUUCGGCCAUUUCGAGACGAUGCAAACAAAACUUCGUUCCUACCAUGCGCAAGAAGUUAGAACCAUUUUCGCUCGAAUGUGACAAGAACAAAUAUGUGAGAAUCUAGAUUAUGUUAUCCAUUAUGAUGUGAUGCCAAUGUUCACUUUUCCCUGUUUUAGGUAGCAAGUAAUGUUUUCAGUUCGAAUGAAACUAAGUACCUUUCACUAAAAUCGACCUACAAACAAACAUUUCCUACCCAUAACUAUUUAACCUUGAGUUCUCCAUCGCACCGGGAGAUACGUAUGAGCAAGAUCCGCAAUCUUGUCAGGCACAUUAAUAAAUAAAAAAUUGUGACCCUUUUUUUGUCUUUCUAUUUUACACUUUUAAUUACUCAAAGAAAACAAAUAAUGUAAGCUAACAUUUAAUCACAAGUUUAAUAAAAAAGGUUCUUGUUGAGUACAACAAACGUGAGGGGUGCUAAUACCUUCCCUUUGCAUAAUCGAUCUCGAACCCGAAUUUGAUUGCGAUGACCAUCUUCUUUUUCUUUUAAGAGUUUUAUCAAUAUUUUCCCUUUCCUUCCAUAAUAAAUAAAGUUCGUUGGCGACUAUGUCAUCUCGAGCGUGCAGGUGCUUGUGGUCAUUUUUCGCUCUAUGACACCUUUAAGUAAACCACUUUCUCUUUUUUAUGGAACUUAUUCGUUCUGGCUUUCUUAGCUUUCAGGAGUUCGACCUGUCGAACUCUGUCAGCCAAAGAGAAAAGGCCUAAUAAUGAACAACAUAUCAUUGGACGUAAAACAAAUAUAAUAUUUCUUCUCACUGCAUGCGAUCCUUCACACAAAUGUCUUCCUAACCAUCCAGGUUAACCUAACGUCCAACCGCAUCCCACGCCAUGCCACACAUUUUCAGUUGUCAAUCAUUUUUCCGAUUUAAAGAAAGAAGCAUACAAUUUCUCAAGUAUUCAAACCAUUUCUCAUUCAAACACCACUUUGCACUCUCAUACUGAUUCGAGCAUUAAAGUGUUCACAUUAUAAGUUCGUCCCCUCUUCACCGUAUCAAAAGCUCAGAGCCACCGCAACAAACUCUACAUCCUCACUCUCCGAUCAACUCUAGUAUCACUACGGAAAAAAAUAUUCAUCGUAUCUCUCAUUUAAAUUUCUAUGGCAUUAUCCUUUGUUACUUCUUUUAAUAGUAUUUUUCUUAUCUUAAAAAGAAUUAUUUUUUUUACAAAAAGUGUGAACCACUAUUUUAUUUUGUUCUCCUUAUAAAGAAAUUAUAUAUUUUUCUAAUCUAUAUAAUUUCACAACAGCCGGCCUUCCAACGGUCGAGUGAUCCAUAUCUAAAACGUGGGCCCAAAUAAAAAUCAAAGACCCAAUAAACUAACGCCGUGAUAACGUUUAAGCAAAAUUAGACCACAUACAUUUAACUUCGUCAAUUUGUAACACCAACUAGCACCUUCCAAAUUGCAAUUUCUUUAGUUCUUUCCGCCCCGAACGCAUCGGAUACUAAAUUUGGCCGCCCAUAAAAAACCAGCCAACAACUUGCACCUAAUGACACGUCAUCAAGCCACGUGUCAAAAACAUAGUGGUGAAGAUUUCGACCCCUCUUGCUAUAAAACGACCCUUCUCACCUUCAUCAUUUCACAGUUCAAUUUCAAACGAACAAAUUCAAUCCAUUUCUUCGUGACCUAACUUCUCCUCAAGGUAUUUUCUCUAUUUGAUUUUCUCUAUUGAUUUUCUUUUCGCUUCUAAAUAUCGUAGAUCUUUCAAAAAUCGAUCUUGUAGGAUUUGUAAUUGCUUAAUUGUUCAUGAGUUUCUCUCUGAUCUGAUCCUAAUUUGAUGAAUUAACAAUCAAUUGUUCGUUUCUCUUGGAUCUCUUUAGAUCCGAUUGUUAAAAGCUUUUUUUUUGUUAAGGUGUAGUGAAUUCAAUUCAAAUUUUAGCUUUGUAUGAACGAAAUUAAUAGCGUUAUUACGUAAUUCUUCAGAUCCGUUUGUUAUGAUGUUUUAAUUCUGAUUAAUUUGUAUCUGUUGAUUCCGAUUUUCCAGAUGCAAAUAUUCGUGAAAACCCUCACCGGAAAGACCAUCACUCUCGAGGUUGAGAGUUCCGACACCAUCGAUAACGUCAAAGCUAAGAUCCAGGAUAAGGAAGGAAUUCCCCCGGACCAGCAACGUCUGAUCUUCGCCGGAAAGCAACUUGAGGACGGCCGUACUCUCGCUGACUACAACAUCCAGAAGGAAUCCACCCUUCAUCUUGUCCUUCGUCUCCGUGGAGGUAUGCAGAUCUUUGUUAAGACCCUCACCGGCAAAACCAUCACCCUCGAGGUUGAAAGCUCCGACACUAUUGACAACGUGAAAGCUAAGAUCCAAGACAAGGAAGGAAUCCCACCGGAUCAGCAGAGGUUGAUCUUCGCCGGAAAGCAGCUCGAGGAUGGAAGGACCCUCGCUGACUACAACAUCCAGAAGGAAUCAACCCUUCACCUUGUGUUGCGUCUUCGUGGUGGUAUGCAAAUUUUCGUCAAGACUCUUACUGGUAAAACUAUUACCCUUGAGGUGGAGAGCUCAGACACCAUUGACAACGUCAAGGCCAAGAUCCAAGACAAGGAAGGAAUCCCACCUGACCAGCAGAGGUUGAUCUUUGCCGGUAAGCAGUUGGAAGAUGGAAGGACUCUUGCGGAUUACAAUAUCCAGAAGGAGUCUACCCUCCAUCUUGUGCUGCGUCUUCGUGGUGGUAUGCAGAUAUUCGUGAAGACCUUGACUGGUAAGACCAUCACCCUGGAGGUGGAGAGCUCUGAUACUAUUGAUAAUGUGAAGGCGAAAAUUCAGGACAAGGAAGGUAUCCCACCGGAUCAGCAGAGGUUGAUCUUUGCCGGGAAGCAGUUGGAGGAUGGAAGGACCCUUGCUGACUACAACAUUCAGAAGGAGAGUACCCUUCACCUUGUGCUCCGUCUUCGUGGUGGGUUUUGAGCUGUUUGUGUUAUGUUGUGUUUGUGAUCUUGGUUAUUUUGAAAUGGAAGUUGUGAACUGAUGAUCUUUUUGGGUCCUAUAUUGAGGCCCCCUAGAAUAAAUUCGAUUUUAUGUACUGUUAUCAUAUGGUUGUGAAUAAUUAGUAUUUUGCCUUUGUAAUGAUGUGUCUAAUGGGUAAUGGGUGUGUUGUGUUUUUAUUUUAUGCUAUUAUAUGAUAUGUGGUUGUUAUUUAGUCAAGAUUAUAUACUCUAGUAAUGAUAACUACUUAUAAUUUGUAUAUAUAUGCUGAGUUCAUGAAAGGUUUAACAAUCCUAUGUUAUCCAUGUUACAACAAGAUAGUAGCAAAAUUAUAGAAAGAUAAACGAAAUUAUGGAAAUAGAUGAAGCUAUACAUCGUUAUCACUACCAACCUUAUUUCCAAUUCA
Molecule: long non-coding RNA, 26901 nt
Filed under: Lathyrus oleraceus (garden pea)
Lineage: Eukaryota; Viridiplantae; Streptophyta; Magnoliopsida; Fabales; Fabaceae
Description: Pisum sativum (pea) long non-coding RNA (PSAT_LNC037082)
Source: RNAcentral